This 427-nucleotide ribosomal RNA is filed under the name uncultured bacterium. Its description in RNAcentral is "bacterial SSU rRNA". It matches the Rfam family "Bacterial small subunit ribosomal RNA", at positions 355 to 774 of the family's 1533-position model. The record is from RNAcentral.
UGGGGAAUUUUGGACAAUGGACGCAAGUCUGAUCCAGCCAUGCCGCGUGCGGGAAGAAGGCCUUCGGGUUGUAAACCGCUUUUGUCAGGGAAGAAACGAGUUUCUCUAAUACAGAGACUUAAUGACGGUACCUGAAGAAUAAGCACCGGCUAACUACGUGCCAGCAGCCGCGGUAAUACGUAGGGUGCAAGCGUUAAUCGGAAUUACUGGGCGUAAAGCGUGCGCAGGCGGUUAUAUAAGACAGAUGUGAAAUCCCCGGGCUCAACCUGGGACCUGCAUUUGUGACUGCAUAGCUAGAAUACGGCAGAGGGGGAUGGAAUUCCGCGUGUAGCAGUGAAAUGCGUAGAUAUGCGGAGGAACACCGAUGGCGAAGGCAAUCCCCUGGACCUGUACUGACGCUCAUGCACGAAAGCGUGGGGAGCAAACA